RNAcentral lists this ribosomal RNA (447 nucleotides) under uncultured bacterium. RNAcentral describes it as "partial 16S ribosomal RNA". It matches the Rfam family "Bacterial small subunit ribosomal RNA", at positions 329 to 793 of the family's 1533-position model. The record is from RNAcentral.
UGCCAGACUCCUACGGGAGGCAGCAGUGGGGAAUAUUGCACAAUGGGGGAAACCCUGAUGCAGCGACGCCGCGUGAGUGAAGAAGUAAUUCGUUACGUAAAGCUCUAUCAGCAGGGAAGAGAAUGACGGUACCUGAGUAAGAAGCCCCGGCUAACUACGUGCCAGCAGCCGCGGUAAUACGUAGGGGGCAAGCGUUAUCCGGAUUUACUGGGUGUAAAGGGAGCGUAGACGGCAGAGAAAGUCUGAAGUGAAAGCCCGCGGCUCAACCGCGGAACUGCUUUGGAAACUUUUCGGCUAGAGUACCGGAGAGGUAAGCGGAAUUCCUAGUGUAGCGGUGAAAUGCGUAGAUAUUAGGAGGAACACCAGUGGCGAAGGCGGCUUGCUGGACGGUAACUGACGUUGAGGCUCGAAAGCGUGGGGAGCAAACAGGAUUAGAUACCCUCGUAC